Molecule: ribosomal RNA, 552 nt
Filed under: Triticum aestivum (bread wheat)
Lineage: Eukaryota; Viridiplantae; Streptophyta; Magnoliopsida; Poales; Poaceae
Description: partial small subunit ribosomal RNA
Source: RNAcentral
AUGGUAAUCCUUCCUAGCAUGUUUCACCUUCUCCCUAACCAGCUCUGCAUCAGCACCAUCAGAGGUCAGAACCUUGGCUGGCAUUUCUUCCACAGACCCGUUAUGACAUUCACGCUUUGGUUCAAACCUAGGACUUGUCCUAGGAGUGCCAGCAGGGUAGUUCUUCCUAGGAUGUUUCAGCUUCCCUCUCACCAGCUCUUCAUUGCCACCUUCAGAGGUCAGAGCCUUGGCUGGCAGCUCUUCCACAGGCCUGUUAUGACAUUCAAGCUUCGGUACAAACCUAGGACUUAUCCUAGGAGUGCUGGUAUGGUAGUUCAUCCGAGGAUGCUUGACCUUCCCUCUCAACAGCUUUGCGUUGCCACCUUCAGAGGUCAGAGCCUCGGCUGGCAGCUCUUUCACAGGCCCGUUAUGACAUUCACGCUUCGGUUCAAACCUAGGACUUGUCCCAGGAGUGCCGGAAUGGUAAUCCUUCCCAGGAUGUUGCAUCUUCUCUCUCACCAGCUCUGCGUCGCCACCUUCAGAGGUCAGUGCCUCGGCUGGCAGCUCUUCUAG